Molecule: ribosomal RNA, 468 nt
Filed under: uncultured bacterium
Lineage: Bacteria
Description: partial 16S ribosomal RNA
Rfam family: Bacterial small subunit ribosomal RNA
Source: RNAcentral
GACGAACGCUGGCGGCGUGCUUAACACAUGCAAGUCGAACGGAAAGGCCCUGCUUUUGUGGGGUGCUCGAGUGGCGAACGGGUGAGUAACACGUGAGUAACCUGCCCUUGACUUUGGGAUAACUUCAGGAAACUGGGGCUAAUACCGGAUAGGAGCUCCUGCUGCAUGGUGGUGGUUGGAAAGUUUCGGCGGUUGGGGAUGGACUCGCGGCUUAUCAGCUUGUUGGUGGGGUAGUGGCUUACCAAGGCUUUGACGGGUAGCCGGCCUGAGAGGGUGACCGGCCACAGUGGGACUGAGAUACGGCACAGACUCCAACGGGAGGCAGCAGUGGGGAAUAUUGCAAAAUGGGCGGAAGCCUGAUGCAGCAACGCCGCGUGCGGGAUGACGGCCUUCGGGUUGUAAACCGCUUUCGCCUGUGACGAAGCGUGAGUGACGGUAAUGGGUAAAGAAGCACCGGCUAACUACGUG